RNAcentral lists this ribosomal RNA (497 nucleotides) under uncultured bacterium. RNAcentral describes it as "partial 16S ribosomal RNA". It matches the Rfam family "Bacterial small subunit ribosomal RNA", at positions 28 to 507 of the family's 1533-position model. The record is from RNAcentral.
GAUGAACGCUGGCGGCGUGCCUAAUACAUGCAAGUCGAGCGAACAGACGAGGAGCUUGCUCCUCUGACGUUAGCGGCGGACGGGUGAGUAACACGUGGAUAACCUACCUAUAAGACUGGGAUAACUUCGGGAAACCGGAGCUAAUACCGGAUAAUAUAUUGAACCGCAUGGUUCAAUAGUGAAAGACGGUUUUGCUGUCACUUAUAGAUGGAUCCGCGCCGCAUUAGCUAGUUGGUAAGGUAACGGCUUACCAAGGCAACGAUGCGUAGCCGACCUGGGAGCGUGAUCGGCCACGCGGGAACUGAGACACGGACCAGACUCCUACGGGAGGCAGCAGUAGGGAAUCUUCCGCGAUAGGCGAAAGCUUGACGGAACAACGGAGCGUGAGUGGUCAAGGUGUUCGGGAAGUACAACGGUGUGAUUAGGGAAGAACAAAUGUGGAAGUAACUAUGCACGUCUUGACGGGACCUGAUCAAAAAGCGACGGCUAACUACGUG